This 73-nucleotide transfer RNA is filed under the name Ailuropoda melanoleuca (giant panda). It matches the Rfam family "tRNA". From Rfam's summary of the family: Transfer RNA (tRNA) molecules are approximately 80 nucleotides in length. Their secondary structure includes four short double-helical elements and three loops (D, anti-codon, and T loops). Lineage: Eukaryota; Metazoa; Chordata; Mammalia; Carnivora; Ursidae. The record is from Rfam by way of RNAcentral.
ACCUGGCUGGCUCAGUUGGUGGAGCGUGUGACUCUUCCUCUCAGAGUUGUGGGUUCAAGCCCCAUGUUAGAUG